GUGCCUUUUUGUCUCACCUGUUUCUGAUUGCUCCUGUGAUCCAGGCACAUACAAGCUGUGUCCCAAUUCAGGGGAAGAGAGAAACGGAGUGGAAUUCACUUUUAAACCUAGGGACCAAGAAAUGUAUAAAACUGAGGAAUUAGAAUGACCAUUUGUUUACGGGGGCACAAAAUUCAGCCACUGUUGGAUGGAGUUUAGAACAAUCCUGGAACAAAUGGGCCUGUAUGAACAGGUUGCGCCUGAGCAGGCCAAAAAAAUGGGACAACCUGAAAAGAAAAAUACAAAGGCAGACACCUCUGCAGACAGCUGAUUCCGCCAUGGAGCACCACUGACAGCGUCCAACUCGUUCUCCCCCUCAUCGUCCGGCAUGUCGUCCUGCAGCUUGUCCUCUGGGGCCAUAUUAAACAUGCUGGAAUCUGAUUGGCUCCCUCCUGGCCCCCUCCGCGAAAAUAAUGUCUUGUCAUUGGGUAAUUUGUUUUUCCUCAGAGGUGCGCUAGCUGGUGGUUACAGCGCAGCUUUAUGGGGGCGGGAUGAGGGGGGAAAAUAAAACAAGCACAUCUCUUCUCUCACUUCAACUCUGAACUGACGGAGACUCGGAUGGCAGGCAAAUUCAAACCUGCAGUA
This is a long non-coding RNA of Notolabrus celidotus (New Zealand spotty), 624 nucleotides long. RefSeq lists it as uncharacterized. The transcript has 4 exons. Lineage: Eukaryota; Metazoa; Chordata; Actinopteri; Labriformes; Labridae. The record is from RefSeq and is a predicted model, not a curated record.